UACGUAGGGUGCAAGCGUUAAUCGGAAUUACUGGGCGUAAAGCGUGCGCAGGCGGUUGUGCAAGACAGAUGUGAAAUCCCCGGGCUUAACCUGGGAAUUGCAUUUGUGACUGCACGGCUAGAGUGUGUCAGAGGGGGGUAGAAUUCCACGUGUAGCAGUGAAAUGCGUAGAUAUGUGGAGGAAUACCGAUGGCGAAGGCAGCCCCCUGGGAUAACACUGACGCUCAUGCACGAAAGCGUGGGGAGCAAACAGGAUUAGAUACCCUCGUAGUCC
This 273-nucleotide ribosomal RNA is filed under the name uncultured bacterium. RNAcentral's name for it is "partial 16S ribosomal RNA". It matches the Rfam family "Bacterial small subunit ribosomal RNA", at positions 524 to 796 of the family's 1533-position model. The record is from RNAcentral.